ACACACACUAUCUUGGCUUCUUCGUUUCUUGGACGUCUUGGCUUUUUUUGGUCGACCCACAUUAGCUUAUUUUAUAUACACGAUAAGAGACAUACAUUUUCAUUCGCCAGGCCUGAUCUUAUAUAUUUAUGUAUAGCCGUAUAGGGAUAUUUGUAUGCAUGCGUAUUCAAGUGCUUCUUCUUUUCCGAUCUGAAUUGGUCCUUCUCUUUUCAUAUU
Arabidopsis thaliana (thale cress) is the source of this 216-nucleotide long non-coding RNA. RefSeq annotates it as other RNA. NCBI's taxonomy places the organism in Eukaryota, Viridiplantae, Streptophyta, Magnoliopsida, Brassicales, Brassicaceae. The record is from RefSeq. The transcript has a single exon.